This is an unclassified non-coding RNA of Aotus nancymaae (Ma's night monkey), 299 nucleotides long. It matches the Rfam family "Metazoan signal recognition particle RNA". Rfam says of the family: The signal recognition particle (SRP) is a universally conserved ribonucleoprotein. It is involved in the co-translational targeting of proteins to membranes. Lineage: Eukaryota; Metazoa; Chordata; Mammalia; Primates; Aotidae. The record is from Ensembl.
GCCGGGCGCGGUGGCGCAUACUUGUAGUCCCAGCUAUUUGGGAGGCUGAGGUGGGAGGAUCGCUUGAGCCCAGGAGAUCUGGGCUGUAGUGCGCUAUGCUGAUUGGGUAUCUGCACUAAGUUCAGCAUCAAUAUGGUAACCUCCUGGGAGUUGGGGACCACCAGGUUGCCUAAUGAGGGGUGAACCAGCCAAGGAUGGAAACGGAGCAGGUCAAAACUCCUGUGCUGAUCUGUAGUGGGAUAGUGCCUGUGAAUAGCCACUGCACUCCAGCCUGGACAACAUAGCAAGACCCCAUCUCU